GUGUAACAUCCCGAAAUUAUAAGACUUUAUAAUAAUAUAUAGUUUAAAUAAACGAGAAGUUACUUAUCUAGAAAUGUAGUAACUUGGUUAACUAACAUGUCUAAAAUUAGCCUACAAUGGGGUUAAAAUAAUAAAAAUGGUUAUGUUAAUAAGUAGAGGGGCCAAUAUUGUCAAAAUGAAACUCAAUUUACUAGUUAGUAACAAAUAAAAAAAAGAAAAAUAAAACAAACACCCCCAAAAGCUAUACUCUGGUCGACCAGAGGAACCCCAGGGGCGACACCCACCAUUCCAAACCCUAGUUCACAAGAAAUCCUACAAAUUGAAGGCUUUAAUCAGUUAGAAAUCGAAAUCCAAGCAUAGAAUCGUGAUCACCUUGUCAAGGGGAUCCUAAGGUAUGUCAAUUUAGGUCAUUUUGAUACAACUUGAAUCCUUACAUAUGAAUGAAAAUUUAUGUUUAGUUUAAAUUGGUGGUAGAAAUUGUGAAAUUGGGAGUAAUAUGAAGUUUUGGGGCAAACCCUAGAUAAAUUCUUGUCCAACCUUUGCAUGAUGAUGAUAUGGGUUUAAAAUCACUAUGGUGGGUGAUUACAAGUUAGAUGAACUUGGUAAACACUAGGGUUUAGAUUGUUGCCUAGUGUAAUUUGAGAUUUUGAAAUAGUCUCUAGGAUUGUUAUGCUAAUAAUAUGUGUAUGCUAUAAGAAUUGGGUUAAUUGGAAUGAUGAACUCAAGUUAUGAAAUUAAAUUAGAUCAUGUAGAAAGUCGACCCGCUAGGUGUUCGAUGAAACGCCUAAAUUAGGGUCAAAAUGUUAAGGGUUUGAUAAAACGCAGAUUUGAAAUGUGUUAAUUAAAUGAUGCAUUAAAGCUUAAGAAAGAGCUCUAAACGUGUUGUAAAUUGAACUCUUUAGGCAAGGAAUCCGGGACGUCAAGCGGACACGCCGGAGGAGACAUACGCGGAAAGGGAGUGCUUUAAAGGUGACUUGGAACUAAUCGGAAGAUGGUCGAGCUAGCUUUGGAUGAACCGAACACUAUCUACAAGCUUCCGCUUUAGUUUAACUUCAAUGGUUUUUGUUUUAGACAAAUGUAGACAAUUAACAAUUCAGUUUUCGAAUGUUUUAAUCUAGUACUAGUUUCGCUAAACGUUUGUUACGUAUGAAAUCCAUUAUAUUUUAA
RNAcentral lists this long non-coding RNA (1167 nucleotides) under Helianthus annuus (common sunflower). Its description in RNAcentral is "hypothetical non coding rna". The record is from RNAcentral. Lineage: Eukaryota; Viridiplantae; Streptophyta; Magnoliopsida; Asterales; Asteraceae.